AUCGUAGCUACAUCAUUACAGUCAUCUUUGUUGACUUCGUACUGACGCGGAGACUCACACACACUUCGGGCAACAGUACAAAAAUUGCUCAAAAUUUGGGAACAGGCGCGCUCUUUAUUUUGGAAGAAAAAGCUUAAAUGGCGAUCGUUGUUCACUCAUGGAGCCGCAGCCUAUACCAAAGGGGCCGAACAAGUAGAGGAGGCGCUUACUGUGAGGGAGAAGAGAGGAAGAUUUUCCUAAAAGCCAACAGGUAAUCUUUUUUCAAUCAAAACACAUACAUAUUUUUGUUUUUUUUUUUUUUUUUUGUGUGUGUGUUAUUUACUCCCUAUUUCGUAGCAACUUUUCAUCUUAAAAAAUUAAUUUUUUAUUCGUUAUUUCACUACCUAAUUGAGCCUUUAUUGUGGAUUGCUGAUGAGACUAGAUCUUGAUGCGAAUUUAGGAUUUAAUUCAGAGUAUAAAGAUAAAGUAAUUUUACCAAAUCAAUGCUUUUCUUUAGAUUAUGGUGUUAUAAUUUUGUAGUGUACCGUGAUUACUUGAAGCUUGGAAGAUGUCAAACUCCGAUUUUCAUAGCUUUCCAGUUUAUUUCAUUCCCACAUAGAAGAAGGAGAUUUAGCCCCCGUUUGAGCCUCAUUAUUUAUCAAAUUAUAAUCUACAAAUAAUGGGUCAAACGGCCCCUUAAGAGAUUUUAUGUGAAGUCGGUUUUUCUCCAUUUUGGAUUAUGAGUACCUAAAAAGUGAAAUUCCAUGGUUACUUUCAUUUGUUUUGAAUCUGAUUUCAAUUAUUAAGUUACCGUUUGAGAAUUAAUUUUUUGACCGUUAGAAGAAAAAUGAGGUCCAUAAGAGAAUAAGUCAAAAAUUACGAUUGUGAUAGUAAAAUUAUAUUUUGACAUAUAUUAACAUGUAGAUAAAUUUUUUUUAAAAGAUCUAUAAUUUUUUUAAGCGUGAAUAAGAAAAAAAAUUAUUUGCAUGUAUGAAUUCUUUUCGAUCGACAGUAACAACUAGUCGUAAAAGCUAACAGUUGGCAAGUACAUAGUUGGCCGUCAACGGUUGGCCUAAUCGGUUGUCAAUUUUUUCAAAUAAAUUUAUGUUACCACUGUGGUUGAGCAUCUCAAUUUUUAAUUAUUUUUUCUUAUAAUUAAAACUUUGUUUUAUCUUGUAGAUAUGGUUGUAAUCCCGGUUUGUUAUUUUGGUGAUUUUGAAUUGGAUGGAAAUGAUCGAUGGGUAUGGAAAUGGACAAGUAAUAUACGUGGUGGUAUUCCAAUUUCCAUAACAAAGAGUACAUCGUACGUGGAAAUGUACUAUGAUUUACAAAAUAAGCUGAAUGUCGAUUCCUCAGAGUACGAUAUGGAACUAAGAUUUCAAUUUAACGAGCAUUCAUCCAUUUCAAUUCCACCUAUGAAGGUUACUUCUAAUACUGAAGUGAAUCAUCUAUUUGAAUUAAACAAAAUGCACACGACGCCUCUUUGUGUGACUUUAAUGAAGAAGGAUGUCGUCAAAUUUGAAGCGGAUGAUGAUUGUUAGUAAUAUAUGUACAAUGAAACCUGAAGCCUUGGCUUUAAUAUAUGUAUAUAAUGCAAUUCCACAAGCUCUUUUUAAUUGUUUAACUAAGGUAUGUAUUUAUAGAAAAAAAUUAUGCAAAAUCGUUGUUCAACUUGAUUUCCACCGAAGAGUUUAGAUUGGUUUCUACUAAAGAAUUCAAAUUAGCCCUCGUUUGGCUCCUCAUUAAAAC
RNAcentral lists this long non-coding RNA (1728 nucleotides) under Olea europaea subsp. europaea. The record is from RNAcentral. Lineage: Eukaryota; Viridiplantae; Streptophyta; Magnoliopsida; Lamiales; Oleaceae.